UAAAUAGGUCAAAACAAAGCAUAAAAAUGGCCUCUAGGUGAUUUAGUAAACCACUGACGACAAAAUGCUGGUCCGUGUUAAAUUUUUCACAGUUCCAUAGCAAAACAAGAACAAUGUAAUGAGUUUUUCACAAAGCUGAAUUAAUUCAAUUUAAAGAACUGUCAUUUAUUUUUAGAGUAAGUAAAUUUUAAAUGCUAAUGUGUUCAGAAAAACUUUUAUCGUAUCUCCCCUGACUACCAUGUCUUCUCUCUCCAGGUGCUGGCCCUCUUUCAUUGCAAGUUUCCCACUUCUCAUUUCAAUGGAUGCUAUCAAGGUCUUCUCCAUCUAAGACACACAUACCACAGGAAGUCUCCUCAGUGUCUCCAGAAGAGAUAAGAACACAAAGAACACGUGCAUCUUCCACUCGAACAAGCUGCAGUGAGGACCUGAUAGUCAAAAUUACUUGGAGGAAAAUCACAGCUCUUCUCCCCUAGAAAGUCUGCUGAGUCUCACCAGGAGAAUCUCACAGGGAGGCUGCCACGAAUUCUCUCUGCAAGGACUGUGAAACUCAGGGUCCUGGAACCUGGGGAGAUCGAGGGACAACUGUACAUCAGCCUGCUGAGAAAUGUUUUGCAGGAUUCAUGAUUGGGAUCUUCGUACUAAGCCUUUCUUGAGGGAGUGUCUCAGACUCAACCAGCCUCAAUUUUCCCAUGAAUCCUUCUUCAUUGCCUUCCUAGAUUGCUACUCCGCAUCUCAGCUGACCCCAUACAAACAAACUCCAAUAGUGUCUCCAAUCGCGUGCUGUGUUAAAUUUUAACUUUAUAACCAACCAUCAUUUGCUACUUCCAUCUAACCAAGCCAGUUUCCUUAUGAUGCACACACUUGUGUUUAGCUCACAAUUUGUUCUACAUGCUUGCUUAUUUAUUCAUUCAGCAAGUAUUUAUUGAGCCCCAACUGUGCACUAGCUGCUGUCUCAGGUGCUGGGGAGACAGGAAGAUCAAAAUAAAACCCCUGCCUUCAAGUGCCUUAUUGUUUAAGGGUCAACAGAAUAAACACAUAAGUGAAUAUAUAUCAUGUGAGGUGGUAAAAAGGGCUGGGCAGAAAAUAAAGGUUGGAAAAGGAUGGAAAGUACUGGAGGGUGGUGUGAUUUUAGGCUGGAGCGUCAGGAAAAGCAGAGAAGAAAUGACUGUUACAGAUGGAAGUGAGUGGAAUGCUCCAAGCAGAGGGAACAGCAAGUGAAAGCGCCCUGUGGUAGAAGCAUAUUUGGCACAUGUGAGGGACUGCAUAAAGGCCAAUGUGGCUGCAUGGGGGUUUGGGAGAUGUAGGGACAAGGUCAGAGAGGUAGCCAAUGUCAGCAUCAUUGCUGUUAGGACUGGGUGGGACCCCAAAAGAAGUAUUAAAUAGUACCAUCUAGUUUUUGUUCUUGAGGAGGUCACGUGUUAAUAUACUGAUUGUUUGAGGUACAACAGAGUCAAAAAGGGGAUAAUUUAUCGAGGUACAAGCCUAGGAUAUGGGUUGCUCCUGUUGCCCCUAAGUCUACCACGCCUGCACAGAUCCUGCUAGUUCUUUCUUUUUUUUUUUGAGACGGAGUCUCGCUCUGUCGCCCAGGCUGGAGUACAGUGGUGCGAUGGCGGCUCACUGCAAGCUCCGCCUUCCGGGUUCACGCCAUUCUCC
This 1653-nucleotide long non-coding RNA is filed under the name Homo sapiens (human). RNAcentral's name for it is "HSALNT0102017". Lineage: Eukaryota; Metazoa; Chordata; Mammalia; Primates; Hominidae. The record is from RNAcentral.